This 3435-nucleotide long non-coding RNA is filed under the name Zea mays. RNAcentral's name for it is "long non-coding RNA (ZMAY_LNC003012)". Lineage: Eukaryota; Viridiplantae; Streptophyta; Magnoliopsida; Poales; Poaceae. The record is from RNAcentral.
UGGCGAGCUCCUCUCUGCCCCUACGAUUUCCAUGGCUGCGAGCUCCCCCCUGGACGCCAUCUUCCCCAGCCAUGGAGCCGUCCAGCUCCCAUCUCCUCCCUGUUGUUCACGUGCAGGAGGCAAGGUUGAAGAAGGCGCCUUGUCUCAAUGACGUGUGGGCCCAAGGCAGGGUAAGGGUGUUUCAAAAUUCCAGAUUUUUGCUAUUUCUUCACAAAUGCAUAUCUCGAGUUUUAGAGCUCCUAAAAUCGCGAAACUUGUUUUGUUGCCUUUCUUAUGAAAUUCUCUAACUAUUGGAUCUAUAUGUUGAUAGGUUUUAGUGGAAAAGUUUUAGUGUAAAAAUUCGUAUUUAAAAACUGGUUUAGAGAAUAAACGAACUUGCUUCUCUCCAUAAAUUUAUUUAUAAAAAUCCAAAAAUGAUGAAACCUGUUUUGUUAGUUAGAUGUUGUUAUACUCUAUCAAGGAAAAAUAUAAAACUUAUAUGUCGUUCACUGAUUUCUUGGUGUGCUAAUUAAAUCAUGAUAAAUAGGAAAAAGAAGAUUUAUUUGCUUGUUAUUUUUGGAUCUGUAGCUCUAUUGCUCCAAAUGGGUUGAAAUUUUUACAGUAGACUCUUGGUGUGAUGCUUAGUGGCUGGUAAAAAGUUCAUGAAUUGUUGUCUAUGUAUGAUUAAGUUAGUGAUUUAACUUGUUUAAUGCACCUUGAGUAGUUUUAAAUGGUUUAUAAAUAAUGUAUGAGUGUAAAAAUGGAAAAUGGUGUUCCACCGUCCUUGCAUUAUAUUAUAUUUAGCCUAAAAAACUUAAUAUAGCCAUGCAUCCACAGAAAAUAAUUAGUUUUAGAUUUAACUUGCUCUCACAUGCUUUAUUGCAUUAACAAUUUGUUAUUUUGUAUUAAAUAAAAUAUAAAACCUGGGCAUGUGAAAUUUAUACAUUGGUCAUGAUUUGUUAUUAACUAUGCCUCAUAAAAAUUCCAACCCUAAAUUAGAUAGUUUCAUAUGGUGCUAAAAUGACACACGUUUUAUAAUUAUAAGAAGAAUUAGAGACAAAUUGGAAGUAAACAAAAGCGUGCAUGUUUCUUAAAAUGAUUAAGUGUCUUGAUAUAAAUUGAAACUUGAUAACUAAGUCAUAAUGAUUUAAACUUGAGAAAUUGGUGGUAGUACCUCUCUAUGAUUUUGCUUGGUAAUUUAGUUGAGUGCUCUCGUGCUUGCUAACUUAAAUUCCUGUGUGAACAGUGUUGGUUGUGCUCUCGAUUUCGAGUAGACACAUCGAGUGGUCAAGUAGGCUCGUAAUACAAGUUGUGUAAGGAAGUUAGUUCAUUUUAGAAUGAUUGUUGAAAUGCUCUGUUCAUGAGAUGGACAUGUAGGGUUAUUUUGAAUCGAGUCAAUGUGGUGUGAUGAUGAUAUUCGUGAUGAAACUGGAAGUCAUGUGUUUGCGUAGUAAAGCUUAGUUUUAAAUUGCAAGCGAUGCGGGAAAAAUUUUAGUAAAUAUAUAGGUGAAAUGUGAAUAAGUUGUUCUGAGUAUGCGGUAUAUGGUGUAGUGGUGGUAUGAAAAAUAGGUUAGCACGCAAUUGGCUAGUUGGCGAGUUCGAUUGGAAUUGUUUAGUUAAUUUGAUUUAUAAGGUGAAGUGAUGGCAUGACUUUGUAACCAUCACGCCAUCGGUUAAAUAACUAUAAUUAAGUGUUAAAAACAGCUAGAGUAGCAAGUGGAUGGUAAUUGUAAAGGCUAGGUGGAAAAUGAAGUGAAAUAUUGUCGUAGUUAGGACUGCACGCGCUGUUUUCGUCGUGCUAUUUUUUUAAUGAACUAAAUUGUGUUUUCUGUAGAAACGCCAUAUAAAAAAGUUAUAGAUAACUAUAUUAUCUUACUUGUGUUAAAAUUUGAUAGCCAUAAGUCUGAUCGUUUAGAAGUUGUGCUUUCUACAAAUUCAGUAACUGAAUCUGUCCAAUUUCUGUACAGAUUUCAGAAACUGCAUUGUUUGCUUAAGUUAUUUUUAGAAUCAGUCCUCGUCGAUUAUAAGAAAGUUGUAUAUGCUUUUCUUAUCUUGCUUGUGUUAAAAUUUCACAACCAUAGGCCUGAGAGUUUAAGAGUUAUGAAUUUUACAAACUGGUUGAUGUGUUCUGUCCACUGUCAGAACAGAUUUCGAAAACUGUAAUGUUUGAUUUGAUUAAACCUGGAAUCAUUUCUUGGUGAUUAUAAAAGUUAUGUAGUGCUUUUGCCAAGCUUUCCAAAAAGUUUUGGAUCACUCUUUUUGGUGGUCUGAAGAUUAAGUUAUGGAUGUUUAAAGUGUGAAAACUGAAUCUGUCCAGUUCUGGACAGCAAAGUCUUCUAGUGUCUUUUAUUCUUAGUUAAAUAUUGAAUCACUUUGAGAUGCUUAUAAAUGAUAUCUAGACAAUUUAAUUAACUUUCCAGAAAGUCUAGGAUCAAUUUGUUUGGAUGUCUGAAUCUUUAGUUAUGAAUUUUUAAAGUUGCAAGUAUGAAUCUGUCCAAAUCUGGACAGAGCUGUUGUGCUAGCACUAUUUGACCUUGUUAAGUGUCUAGUCACCUUGUGAUGACAAUACCAAAGUUGUAGAGCACUUUUUAAGAUUUUCAGAAAGUCUAAGAUCACUUUGUUUGGAUGUCUGAAUCUUUAGUUGUAAAUUUUUGAAGUAGCAAGUCUGAAUCUGUCCAAAUCUGGACAGAGUUGUUGUAUUAGCAUGUUUUGACCUUGCUAAGUGUUGAAUCAUAUUGUGAUGACAAUACCAAAGUUGUAGAGUACUUUUUAAACUUUCCAGAAAGACCUAGUUUGCUAUUUUUGGAUUACUAUUUGAAAAGUUAUGAUUAAAACAAGUAACUGCUGUGUUGCUGUCCAAAAAUCUGCUUGUGCUCAAAUGAAUGUUUAGUUCACCCUUGUGGCUAAAAAAAUGCGUAGUUAGCACUUAACGGACAUAGACUUGUAAUGGCUAAACUUAGAUUAACAUGUGUUCCAUGAUUAAUGUGCUCGCUUGCUGUAGUUGAUUGUGAUAUAGGAGUUCCAUAGACAUUGAUGCAUAGGUCCUCUGUUAAACUUGUGUUUGGGAUGCUUUUGUGUGAUUAAUAGAAGAACUAAUGAAAAGCCGUAAUAAUUAAACAAAUGCUUGUACUUGUGAUGUCGUGUUGCGUUGGUUAAUUAUAGGUAUUAAUCGUCGUCCUUCCAGUGGUGUUGAUGUUGUGCGCUCGAUGAAGUGUAGAUAUCUAAUUCUAACAUGUGGUUGUUUACGGUGUCUUACAAUUUAGUGUUGGGUCGCUACCGUGUAUUUGUAUAUCUUGUGAUAACUUUUCAUUAUAUUCAUACAUAUGCAUCUUGCAUCUCAUUUAGGACCGAGAGAUGAUGAUCAUGCAAGUGAUGUGGUGCCAACCACAAGAUGCAGUUGGUGGAUGACCUGAAGAAUGGACUUAACCAGUGGAUGCUCGCCAAGCGAGUACCCAC